GGAAAGUGAGUUGGGGUAAUUAUUUCUUUUCCCUCUUCACUGCUGAACUACAAUUUUGGCUUCAGCUCUGCUUGGCCCCUUCUCUACCCGGCAGCUCUCAUUGGACUCAGGAACGUAGAGUCCUCCAGACUCUACGUACAUGUAGCUGAUGUAAAUUCACCUGAGGAGUUCCUGGGGGAGACUGCAAGGAGAUGUCAGAGGGACCCAGGUACCUAGGCCUUUGUGCUGUGAAUCAGCGGACGCGCAAGUGGCAGUGCCUGUUAGAAGCAACGCAACCUCGUGGCUCCUGCAAGUGUGGAGACACCUCCCACACAAGGCGGGGCAAGCAGGACAAGCGCAGUUUGCUGUGGUCUUGUGACAGAGAGCACAAAAGGGAUCAUGUAAGAGAAAUCCGUUUCUGCUGGUGUCCUUCCGAUAAAAGAAUGCCCUCAACCAAGCACCUCCCUCCUGCUCACGUUAUGGUGGAGAGGGAAGCGUCCCUGGCAGUCAUCACAAGGAUGUUUAUCCUGAAGUGUGCGGGUGCCAAGGCUCUUGUGCUGCAGAGUUCCAACUGUUCACGCUCAAUUUUGAUCUUGGCUUAAAGAAGGACCACCCCCCGUCUGCUACUUGCGGAAAAAAGUGAACCGCUCAUCAUUGCUGCACGUCACCAGCCAGCAGGUGUUACUACUGUCUUUA
This 675-nucleotide long non-coding RNA is filed under the name Equus caballus (horse). RNAcentral describes it as "lncRNA (ENSECAG00000029255.3)". Lineage: Eukaryota; Metazoa; Chordata; Mammalia; Perissodactyla; Equidae. The record is from RNAcentral.